RNAcentral lists this ribosomal RNA (201 nucleotides) under uncultured bacterium. RNAcentral describes it as "partial 16S ribosomal RNA". It matches the Rfam family "Bacterial small subunit ribosomal RNA", at positions 1302 to 1500 of the family's 1533-position model. The record is from RNAcentral.
AGGCUGCAACUCGCCUGCACGAAGUCGGAAUUGCUAGUAAUCGUAGGUCAGCAUACUACGGUGAAUACGUUCCCGGGCCUUGUACACACCGCCCGUCAAACCAUGAGAGUUGGCAACACCCGAAGUCGGUAGUCUAACCGCAAGGAGGACGCCGCCGAAGGGUGGGGGUUGAUGAUUAGGGUUAAGUCGUAACAAGGUACC